GGACCUGUAGCUCAGGCUGGAUAGAGCGUUAGUCUUCUAAGCUAAAGGUCGUGGGUUCAAAUCCCAUCAGGUCCG
RNAcentral lists this transfer RNA (75 nucleotides) under Candidatus Woesearchaeota archaeon. RNAcentral describes it as "tRNA-Arg". It matches the Rfam family "tRNA". Rfam says of the family: Transfer RNA (tRNA) molecules are approximately 80 nucleotides in length. The record is from RNAcentral. Lineage: Archaea; Nanobdellati; Candidatus Woesearchaeota.